CAAUAGCGUAUAUUAAAGUUGUUGCAGUUAAAAAGCUCGUAGUUGGAUUUCUGUCAAGGACAACUGGUCCGCCCUCCGGGUGAGCACAUAGUUUGGUCUUGGCAUCUUGCUGGAAACUGUUGCUGCGCUUGGUUGUGUGGUGCAGCUUUCAGCACUUUCACUUUGAGGAAAUUGGAGUGUUUCAAGCAGGCACAUGCCUUUGGACACAGUAGCAUGGAAUAAUUAGAUUGGGCUUUUGCUCCAACUUGUUGGUUCCUGGAGCUGAGGUGAGAAUCAAUGGGGAUUGUUGGGGGCAUCCGAAUUUAGCCGUCAGAGGUGAAAUUCUUGGAUCUGCUAAAGACGGACAACUGCGAAAGCGUUUGCCCAGGAUGUUUUCAUUG
Molecule: ribosomal RNA, 380 nt
Filed under: uncultured eukaryote
Lineage: Eukaryota
Description: partial 18S ribosomal RNA
Rfam family: Eukaryotic small subunit ribosomal RNA
Source: RNAcentral